This 497-nucleotide ribosomal RNA is filed under the name uncultured bacterium. Its description in RNAcentral is "partial 16S ribosomal RNA". It matches the Rfam family "Bacterial small subunit ribosomal RNA", at positions 28 to 507 of the family's 1533-position model. The record is from RNAcentral.
GAUGAACGCUGGCGGCGUGCCUAAUACAUGCCAGUCGAGCGAACAGAUAAGGAGCUUGCUCCUUUGACGUUAGCGGCGGACGGGUGAGUAACACGUGGGUAACCUACCUAUAAGACUGGGAUAACUUCGGGAAACCGGAGCUAAUACCGGAUAAUAUUUCGAACCGCAUGGUUCGAUAGUGAAAGAUGGUUUUGCUAUCACUUAUAGAUGGACCCGCGCCGUAUUAGCUAGUUGGUAAGGUAACGGCUUACCAAGGCGACGAUACGUAGCCGACCUGAGAGGGUGAUCGGCAACACUGGAACUGAGACACGGUCCAGACUCCUACGGGAGGCAGCAGUAGGGAAUCUUCCGCAAUGGGCGAAAGCCUGACGGAGCAACGCCGCGUGAGUGAUGAAGGUCUUCGGAUCGUAAAACUCUGUUAUUAGGGAAGAACAUACGUGUAAGUAACUGUGCACGUCUUGACGGUACCUAAUCAGAAAGCCACGGCUAACUACGUG